Epinephelus lanceolatus (giant grouper) is the source of this 315-nucleotide long non-coding RNA. RefSeq lists it as uncharacterized. The record is from RefSeq and is a predicted model, not a curated record. NCBI's taxonomy places the organism in Eukaryota, Metazoa, Chordata, Actinopteri, Perciformes, Serranidae.
GGGCAAAACACCUGAAGCUAACACACCCGGACAAGUGUCUCCACUGACUGCAGAGGCCGAACCCUGGUUGGCAUUGACAACAUUAUAUGACUGAAAGACAGUGACAAGGGAACUGCUGAAGUCACAGAUGAACCAGGAGCUACCCAGAUGAACCGGCAGCACUGUUAACAAGCUAAUGGCACCAAGUGAAAGGUCUCAAACAGUGGUCUGCGGCUUGGCAGCAGUUUUACAUAGAUCUCACACCAUUCACCAUCCCCUCAACCUCCUGAUGACAAAGUCAGUGGAGCGUCGCGGGGGGCUGGAGCCUACACCCUG